GUUUGUGAUAUACCACCCAAGGGAUUGAGGAUGGCAUCGACAUUUGUUGGGAACUCCACAUCAAUCCAGGAGAUGUUCAGGAGGGUGAGUGAGCAGUUCACAGCCAUGUUCCGUCGCAAGGCCUUCUUGCAUUGGUACACUGGAGAAGGGAUGGACGAGAUGGAGUUCACUGAAGCAGAAAGCAACAUGAACGAUUUGGUGGCAGAGUACCAGCAGUACCAGGAUGCGACUGCCGAGGAUGAUGUUGAGUAUGAGGACGAGGGCGUUGAAGAGAAUUAUGAGGGCUAAGUGUAUUGUAAGGAAUGGCUAUUUUCUUCAGAAUUGGAUUGAGGUUUGACGAGUC
RNAcentral lists this long non-coding RNA (343 nucleotides) under Manihot esculenta (cassava). Its description in RNAcentral is "long non-coding RNA (MESC_LNC002998)". Lineage: Eukaryota; Viridiplantae; Streptophyta; Magnoliopsida; Malpighiales; Euphorbiaceae. The record is from RNAcentral.